This 428-nucleotide ribosomal RNA is filed under the name uncultured bacterium. RNAcentral describes it as "bacterial SSU rRNA". It matches the Rfam family "Bacterial small subunit ribosomal RNA", at positions 355 to 776 of the family's 1533-position model. The record is from RNAcentral.
UCGAGAAUAUUUAGCAAUGGACGAAAGUCUGACUAUGCGACGCCGCGUGCAGGAUGAAGGUCUUCGGAUUGUAAACUGCUUUUGUUAGGGGAGAAACCUGAAACGUUAACAGCGUUUCAGCUGACGGUACCUGACGAAUAAGCCACGGCUAACCCUGUGCCAGCAGCCGCGGUAAUACAGGGGUGGCAAGCGUUACUCGGAAUUAUUGGGUGUAAAGGGCAGGUAGGUGGUCUUGUAAGUGAGGGGUGAAAUCCCACGGCUCAAUCGUGGAACUGCCUUUCAAACUGCAGGACUUGAGAGUGUUAGGGGAGAAUGGAAUUCCCGGUGUAAGGGUGAAAUCUGUAGAUAUCGGGAAGAACACCAACAGCGAAGGCAAUUCUCUGGGACACUUCUGACGCUGAACUGCGAAAGCUAGGGGAGCAAACAGA